GACGAACGCUGGCGGCGUGCUUAACACAUGCAAGUCGAACGGAAAGGCCCUGCUUUUGUGGGGUGCUCGAGUGGCGAACGGGUGAGUAACACGUGAGUAACCUGCCCUUGACUUUGGGAUAACUUCAGGAAACUGGGGCUAAUACCGGAUAGGAGCUCCUGCUGCAUGGUGGGGGUUGGAAAGUUACGGCGGUUGGGGAUGGACUCGCGGCUUAGCAGCUUGUUGGUGGGGUAGUGGCUUACCAAGGCUUUGACGGUUAGCCGGCCUGAAAGGGAGACCGGCUACAUAGGCCUACGGGAGGGACCAGACUCCAACGGGAGGCAGUAGGGGGGAGCAUUGCACAAUGGGCGGAAGCCUGAGGCAGAAACGCUCCGUGCGGGAUGCCGGCCUUCGGGUUGUAAACCGCUUUCGCCUGUGACGAAGCGUGAGUGACGGUAAUGGGUAAAGAAGCACCGGCUAACUACGUG
RNAcentral lists this ribosomal RNA (467 nucleotides) under uncultured bacterium. RNAcentral's name for it is "partial 16S ribosomal RNA". It matches the Rfam family "Bacterial small subunit ribosomal RNA", at positions 28 to 507 of the family's 1533-position model. The record is from RNAcentral.